AUUGAACGCUGGCGGAAUGCUUUACACAUGCAAGUCGAACGGCAGCACGGGGCAACCUGGUGGCGAGUGGCGAACGGGUGAGUAAUACAUCGGAACGUGCCCAGUCGUGGGGGAUAACGUAGCGAAAGCUACGCUAAUACCGCAUACGAUCUACGGAUGAAAGCGGGGGACUCGCAAGAGCCUCGCGCGAUUGGAGCGGCCGAUGGCAGAUUAGGUAGUUGGUGGGGUAAAGGCUCACCAAGCCUGCGAUCUGUAGCUGGUCUGAGAGGACGACCGGCCACACUGGAACUGAGACACGGUCCAGACUCCUACGGGAGGCAGCAGUGGGGAAUUUUGGACAAUGGGCGCAAGCCUGAUCCAGCCAUUCCGCGUGCAGGAUGAAGGCCUCGGUUGUAAC
RNAcentral lists this ribosomal RNA (397 nucleotides) under uncultured bacterium. RNAcentral's name for it is "bacterial SSU rRNA". It matches the Rfam family "Bacterial small subunit ribosomal RNA", at positions 30 to 429 of the family's 1533-position model. The record is from RNAcentral.